CAACAUUACUUAUUUAAGCUUUAUCAAUUGUCUUCUUCAUUACUUCAAAAACUACCAACGCAUUCUUUACUCAACAUAUUCACUAGAUCUUGCUCAACAGAUAUGGAAGCAAAAAUGAUUUUUAUUCUUUUUUGUGUCUUCGGACUGAUGGCAGGGACACCGUUGAACAUAUAUAUUCAAGCAGAA
Eurytemora carolleeae is the source of this 186-nucleotide long non-coding RNA. RefSeq lists it as uncharacterized. The record is from RefSeq and is a predicted model, not a curated record. NCBI's taxonomy places the organism in Eukaryota, Metazoa, Arthropoda, Copepoda, Calanoida, Temoridae. The transcript has 2 exons.